AAAAAUUUAGUUAAAAAAUAACAUUAACUUGUCAUGUUAAAAUUGUUUAUAUAAACAAUUUUUA
RNAcentral lists this transfer RNA (64 nucleotides) under Theopea aeneipennis. RNAcentral's name for it is "tRNA-Asp". The record is from RNAcentral. Lineage: Eukaryota; Metazoa; Arthropoda; Insecta; Coleoptera; Chrysomelidae.